UGUUAGCAAUUCCUAGGUUAUGGCUGCCAUUCUGGAAGUUGGAGAGAACAUGGAACACAAUUUUCUUCAGUUUGAUCUCGCCCUAAAGCAGAUUGAACCAGACACAGCCCGCAAGACUCCUGAUUAUUUUUUUAUAAAUAUAAUUCAACUUUCUCCUCACUUGUUCUUCUUUGUAGAUACAACUGAUAAUAAUAAGAAAACAAGGUAAAGGUUGGAAUACGGAAUGGAAUGGAAUGAAGUGAUUCAUUCCAUUCCAUGUCUUCCCUCUCUAUUUUUCUUUCUCAUUUUUAUUCUAAUGAUCAAAGUUCUUGUUGUUAAUAUCAGUUUCCCUGUUCUUUUUUUAUACUUGAUGCACCCUUGUGUUUGAGGCUUUGAGCGUAUGGAGCUAUAUCCAAUAAUGAGAAUGAGGGCAUUUCCGCCUUUUACACAUACAAGAUUUUUGGGUGGGACAAAAUUGCAAGUUUUGUCCCUUUGCAACUUGGAAUUGUAGUACACGGGAAGAUUGUAAUGUAAUAUGUUUAUAUGCAAAUGUAGGCAAUUGAGAAACUAAUAUCUUCUUUCUUACUGGGAACAUAUGUCUCUACUCUCCUGUUGAAGAUGUUCAUCUGAUUCCUCAAAGUAUUUGGAGAAAUAUUGAAACUUUGGGUCUUUCAGAAGUUGGAAAGCGUGAAGAUAUUGUUCAGAAUGCUUGUGAAGCUUUGUGUAAGCUUAAAAGUGAAGGGGAUGAAGCCAAAGGGAUUCUCAACGGAGUUCUGACUUCAGAUUUUUCUAGAAAAGGAGACUCUGAUUUUGAAAGUACGCGUGAGACACUUCUUCAUGUCCUUUCAAAUUUGACUUUUGUACAAUCAUACUUUGAUUUCUUUUCGAAAAAAACCGAUGAAAAACUUAUGGAAAUUGAAGAGGCUGAAAUUGAAUUGGAUCUAGUACAGAAAGAGCAGGCUGUUGAGGAGUCAUCUAAUGAUGUCACAGAUUGGAGAAAGCUAAAGCUUCCUUUUCUAGCCAAUAACAUUCUUUUUUUUGAAUUUAUGAAUUUAUAAUUAAUCUCCAUGUGUCAAUAUUUCUCAUGCCACUUUGUUUAAAUCCAGAUUAUGAGAAGGAAGAUAAACGUCUUCAAGAAAUUAAGGAUCACAUUCAG
Non-coding RNA from Lactuca sativa (garden lettuce), 1135 nucleotides. The record is from RefSeq and is a predicted model, not a curated record. Lineage: Eukaryota; Viridiplantae; Streptophyta; Magnoliopsida; Asterales; Asteraceae.